RNAcentral lists this ribosomal RNA (76 nucleotides) under Bacillus cereus. Its description in RNAcentral is "partial 16S ribosomal RNA". It matches the Rfam family "Bacterial small subunit ribosomal RNA", at positions 1 to 74 of the family's 1533-position model. The record is from RNAcentral. Lineage: Bacteria; Bacillati; Bacillota; Bacilli; Caryophanales; Bacillaceae.
CUUUAUUGGAGAGUUUGAUCCUGGCUCAGGAUGAACGCUGGCGGCGUGCCUAAUACAUGCAAGUCGAGCGAACGAA